CAAAGGUUUGGUCCCAGCCUUUCUAUUGGCUGCUAGCAAAACUACACAUGCAAGUAUCCGCCCACCAGUGAGGAUGCCCUAUUAAUCACCUUAGAUGAAGAGGAGCAGAUAUCAGGCACACCCUAAGUAGCUCAAGACGUCUUGCUCAACCACACCCCCACGGGAAACAGCAGUGAUAAAAAUUAAGCGAUGAACGAAAGUUUGACUAAGUUAUGCUUGCUAAGGGUUGGUAAAUCUCGUGCCAGCCACCGCGGUCAUACGAUUAACCCCAGUCAAUAAACAUACGGCGUAAAGCGUGUUUAAAAAACUUAAUAAUAAAAUCAAACCUUAGCUACGCUGUAAAAAGCCCCAGCUACUGUAAGCUCUAAUGCGAAAGUAAUUUUAAAAUUUUGAACACACGAUAGCUAGGACCCAAACUGGGAUUAGAUACCCCACUAUACCUAGCCUUAAACCCAAAGAGUCAGCCCAACAAGACUCUUCGCCAGAGUACUACUAGCCAAAGCUUAAAACUCAAAGGACUUGGCGGUGCUUUAUAUCCUCCUAGAGGAGCCUGUUCUAUAAUCGAUACACCCCGAUAAACCUCACCAACUCUUGCCAAUACAGCCUAUAUACCGCCAUCUUCAGCAAACCCUGAAAAGGAGUCAUAGUAAGCCUAAUCACAAUAAGUAAAAACGUUAGGUCAAGGUGUAGCCCAUGAGUUGGAAAGAAAUGGGCUACAUUCUCUAGUAUUUAGAGUACACCACGAAAACUUUUAUGAAAACUAGAAGUCAAAGGUGGAUUUAGCAGUAAGCUAAGAAUAGAGUGCUUAGUUGAACAAGGCCAUGAAGCACGCACACACCGCCCGUCACCCUCCUCAAUUAUACAACAGCAACACAUUAACCUAUUAAACUAGCUCAAAACUACUAGAGGAGAUAAGUCGUAACAAGGUAAGCGUACUGGAAAGUGCGCUUGGAUAAUU
Molecule: non-coding RNA, 958 nt
Filed under: Rhinophylla pumilio
Lineage: Eukaryota; Metazoa; Chordata; Mammalia; Chiroptera; Phyllostomidae
Description: 12S ribosomal RNA
Rfam family: Bacterial small subunit ribosomal RNA
Source: RNAcentral